AACGAACGCUGGCGGCAUGCCUAACACAUGCAAGUCGAACGAGACCUUCGGGUCUAGUGGCGCACGGGUGCGUAACGCGUGGGAACCUGCCCUUAGGUUCGGAAUAACUCCCCGAAAGGGGUGCUAAUACCGGAUAAUGUCUUCGGACCAAAGAUUUAUCGCCUUUGGAUGGGCCCGCGUUGGAUUAGCUAGUUGGUAGGGUAAAAGCCUACCAAGGCGACGAUCCAUAGCUGGUCUGAGAGGAUGAUCAGCCACACUGGGACUGAGACACGGCCCAGACGCGAACGGGUGAGCGCGGUGGGGGUCAUGGGGGAUGGGGCCAUUGGGUGAUAAAGUAUCGCCGCGUGAGUAACAGAGCGACUAGGGUGGUAAAACGCUCUUGCCCAGACUGAUCGUGAGGGGACGGUGCAAAAGAGCGAAGGCUCACACGACG
Molecule: ribosomal RNA, 433 nt
Filed under: uncultured bacterium
Lineage: Bacteria
Description: partial 16S ribosomal RNA
Rfam family: Bacterial small subunit ribosomal RNA
Source: RNAcentral